UACGGAGGGGGCUAGCGUUGUUCGGAAUUACUGGGCGUAAAGCGCACGUAGGCGGCUUUGUAAGUCAGAGGUGAAAGCCCGGGGCUCAACCCCGGAAUAGCCUUUGAGACUGCAAGGCUUGAACACGGGAGAGGUGAGUGGAAUUCCGAGUGUAGAGGUGAAAUUCGUAGAUAUUCGGAAGAACACCAGUGGCGAAGGCGGCUCACUGGACCGUUGUUGACGCUGAGGUGCGAAAGCGUGGGGAGCAAACAGG
This 253-nucleotide ribosomal RNA is filed under the name uncultured prokaryote. RNAcentral describes it as "partial 16S ribosomal RNA". It matches the Rfam family "Bacterial small subunit ribosomal RNA", at positions 524 to 776 of the family's 1533-position model. The record is from RNAcentral.